Molecule: ribosomal RNA, 632 nt
Filed under: Amanita virosa (European destroying angel)
Lineage: Eukaryota; Fungi; Basidiomycota; Agaricomycetes; Agaricales; Amanitaceae
Description: eukaryotic LSU rRNA
Rfam family: 5.8S ribosomal RNA (bases 71-224)
Source: RNAcentral
GUUGUCUAUUCCAUUAUCUUAGACACUAGUAGCACGCCGAUAUAAGGAUUUUUGAUUAACUAUUAAAUAAAACUUUCAACAACGGAUCGCUUGGCUCUCGCAUCGCUGAAGAACGCAGCGAAAUGCGAUGAGUACUGUGAAUUGCAGCAUUCACUGAAUCAUCGAAUUUUUGAACGCACCUUGCGCUCCGUGGUAUUCUGAGGAGUAUGACUGUUUGAGUGACAUUAACAUCUCAAGACCUGGCUGCUUUUGAUAUGUAUUGGAUUCGUGGGUGCUGCUGGUUGCUUCAGAUAGCUUGCUCUCCUUGACUGUAUUAGUGGCGACAGAGCCAUUGAACUCUAUUGAUGUGAUAAUAUCUAUCGAUGCCAGGAGUCAUGUUAGUUUACUCUGCUGUCUAACUCUAACAGUCGUCUGUAUCAACUGUACAACUCAACCUAACUUGACCUCAAAUCAGGUAGGACUACCCGCUGAACUUAAGCAUAUCAAUAAGCUGAGAAAAGAAACUACCAAGGCUUCCCCUAGUAACUGCGAGUGACGCGGGAAAAGCUCAAUUUAAAUCUGCCAGAUGCUUGUCUGGCCGACUUGUACCAAAAGAAGUGAAACCUGUGCUGGCACCGGGUCAACUUCUCCUG